UACGGGGGGGGCAAGCGUUGUUCGGAAUUACUGGGCGUAAAGGGCUCGUAGGCGGCCAACUAAGUCGGAUGUGAAAUCCCCAGGCUCAACUUGGGAACUGCAUCCGAUACUGGAUGGCUUGAAUUCGGGAGAGGGAUGCAGAAUUCCAGGUGUAGCGGUGAAAUGCGUAGAUAUCUGGAGGAAUACCGGUGGCGGAGGCGGCAUCCUGGACCGACAUUUGACGCUGAGGAGCGAAAGCUAGGGGAGCAAACGGG
RNAcentral lists this ribosomal RNA (254 nucleotides) under uncultured bacterium. RNAcentral's name for it is "partial 16S ribosomal RNA". It matches the Rfam family "Bacterial small subunit ribosomal RNA", at positions 524 to 776 of the family's 1533-position model. The record is from RNAcentral.